UCGAAGACGAGGAGCUUCUUUCGGGAGCGGGAGGGGGGUGGAGGCAGCGGCGCUUCCUAUUGCCGCAGCAGGGGCACGGCUCGGAGAAGCCGACGGUGGCGGAGGAGGACUCGAGCCGCACCUCCGAGAUGUACGCCGUCACCUCGGCAGCUUCCGGCGGGUUCUUGGAAGCCGCUUCCAUCUCUGGUCUCUCUCCCACUUUUGGUAGAUAGGGCGUUCGAUUUCUUGUUCAAAUUGUGGGGAGGGUGGGAACGGAGUCUCUUAUAUGGGGAGGAGACGGCGGUCGAGAUUGUCCGCCUAAGGCAUCGGGCGGCUGAAAUUGCUCUGCAGGUAAAUUAAGAUUUCAAUCAAGAAAACUGUUAACAAAUCAACAACCUGCUCCAACAAGUUUAGGUAGGUCUGAUAGUUCUCUGCCAUUACCAGAAAACGUUUUUGCUUCAGGAAUUUAAAAAAGAAUGCAGCUCUUUAUAGAGUUUAUUAAACACCAGACCAAGUACAAGAACUAAUGAAACACCCCUGGCAAUCAAAUAAUGUAGCCCCUAGUCAAGUUCUAGCGUUGGAAAAAUUGUAACGAUACAUAUAAUUUAAACCACAAGGCUUUUACUAUACAAACAAGACAGAGAGGAAAAGUCUCCAUCAAUUAGGAGAUCAGUCGGUAGCCCACCGCAAAAUCCAAAAGAAUGACACUUCUCCAGCCUCAUGUAUAUGAAAUCCUCAAACUGCACUUGUAUUAACGUCUGUAAGUUCUCCUUGGCCAAUACUACUUUUGCCUGUAUACUCUGCAGGUAUUUUCUCUAGCAUGAACAUCCUCCUGAUUGCUGUUCCGUCUGCGAGGCAGUGACGGUGGGCUUCAAGUUGACGUCAACCAUGUCUUCCUGUUUGGACGAAGGAAGAGUCUCCAUCCCUGGUAAGGCUGCAGCAAUCUUGCGGAAGAGAGGCUGCAAUUGUCCAUUUUUAUUUCAACAUUAGUAACGAGGAAGUGAUGUUGCAAAAGAACAUAGUCAAGCAGAUACGAUUCACCUUGAUGUUGAAUCCUGCUUUCGCACUGGUCUCUAUGAACAUGACCCCAAAUUCACGGGCCUUGGCUUCUCCUUCUUCAAUAGAAACUUGCCUGUUAUCA
RNAcentral lists this long non-coding RNA (1120 nucleotides) under Phoenix dactylifera (date palm). RNAcentral describes it as "long non-coding RNA (PDAC_LNC000712)". The record is from RNAcentral. Lineage: Eukaryota; Viridiplantae; Streptophyta; Magnoliopsida; Arecales; Arecaceae.